RNAcentral lists this long non-coding RNA (1913 nucleotides) under Gopherus agassizii (Agassiz's desert tortoise). Its description in RNAcentral is "lncRNA (ENSGAGG00000013353.1)". The record is from RNAcentral. Lineage: Eukaryota; Metazoa; Chordata; Testudines; Testudinidae.
UCAGUGUUCACAGACAACACAACAGCCAUGUAUUACAUAAACAAGCAUUGAGGGGCAUGGUCCUCCCCCCUUUGUCAGGAGGCCAUCCAACUCUGGGUCUUUUGUAUAGCCCACUCGAUAGACCUGGUAGCGUCCUUUCUUCCAAGGGUUCGGAACACUCUGGCGGAUCGACUCAGCAGAUCCUUCCUGUCUCACAAGUGGUCAAUUCGUCCGGACGUUAUUUAUUCUGUUUUCCAGAAGUGGGGAUUUCCCCGCAUAGACCUCUUUGCUUCCCACGAGAACAGGAAAUGCCAGAUGUUCUGCUCCUUCCCAGGUCUCUCCCAGGGCUCGAUCUCAGAUGCUUUCCUGAUGCCGUGGACGAGCCAACUGCUUUACACCUUCCCACCGUUCCCACUGGUUCACAGGGUCCUCCUAAAGCUCCGCAGGGACGGAGCUCGCUUGAGCAUGAUCGCUCCGGCGUGGCCCAGGCAGCACUGGUACACCAUGUUGCUCGACCUCUCAAUAGACAACCCAAUUACCCUGCCUCUUCACCCAGACCUCAUAACUCGGGACCAUGGCACACUUCACCACCCAGACCUGCAGUCCCUUCACCUCACAGCAUGGUUGCUGCGUGGUUAAGCCAGUCAGAGUUACAUUGCUCUGCCUCAGUACAACAAGUACUCCUGGGUAGCAGGAAACCUUCCACUCGGUUGACGUAUCUGGCCAAGUGGAAGCAUUUCUCCUGCUGGUGUGAAACGCAUAAUGUCAUUCCCACCGAGGUCUCAAUCCCCACCAUCUUGGACUACCUCUGGUAUCUCAAACAGCAGGGCCUAGCGGUAUCAUCGAGGGUGCACUUGGCGGCCAUCUCUACCUUCCACCCAGGGGAGAGUGGCCACUCCGUGUUCUCGCACCGUAUGGUCUCUAGGUUCCUCAAGGGCUUGGAGCGCCUAUACCCCCAAGUAAGACACCCCGCCCCAACCUGGGACCUCAACCUGGUUCUAACCAGACUCAUGUCUGCCCCAUUCGAGCCAUUAGCAACCUGCUCGCUACUAUACCUGUCCUGGAAGACAGCUUUCCUCGUAGCCAUUACAUCGGCCAGACGAGUCUCCGAACUUCGGGCUCUCACGAUGGACCCAGCGUAUACUGUGUUUCACAAGAACAAGGUGCAUUUGCGACCACACCCGACGUUCCUUCCUAAAGUGGUUUCGGCCUUUCAUGUCAACCAGGAUAUCUUCCUUCCAGUCUUCUUCCCGAAGCUACACUCAUCACGACGGGAGCAAAAAUUGCACUCCCUAGAUGUCCAUAGAGCACUCUCAUUUUGUAUCAAGCGCACAAAACCCUUUCGUAAAAUGCCCCAACUCUUCGUUGCGGUGGCAGACCGAAUGAAGGGCCUACCUGUCUCCUCCCAGAGGAUCUCAUCUUGGGUGACGGCGUGCAUCCAUACCUGUUAUGACUUGGCUCAUGUUCCCUUGAGCCACCUCAUCGCUCAUUCUACCAGAGCUCAGGCUUCAUCUGCCGCUUUCCUGGCUCAUGUACCCAUCCAGGAGAUAUGUCGCACAGCUACCUGGUCCUCUGUCCACACCUUUGCCUCUCAUUAUGCUUUGGUUCAACAGUCCAGAGAUGAUGCAGCCUUUGGCUCAGCAGUUUUGCAUUCUGCAAAAUCUCACUCCGAUCCCACCAUGUAGGUAAGGCUUGGGAAUCACCUAACUGGAAUCGGUAUGAGCAAGCACUCGAAGAAGAAAAGAUAGUUACUCACCUUUAUAACUGUUGUUCUUCGAGAUGUGUUGCUCAUAUCCAUUCCAAACCCACCCUCCUUCCCCUCUGUCGGAGUAGCCAGCAAGAAGGAACUGAAGGGCUGUUGGGUCGGCAGAGGUAUAUAUCCAGCGCCAUAGCGGUGCCACUCCAGGGGGCGCCCAGCCGACCCACCGAGUUUU